RNAcentral lists this unclassified non-coding RNA (200 nucleotides) under soil metagenome. Its description in RNAcentral is "partial contains internal transcribed spacer 2 and large subunit ribosomal RNA". The record is from RNAcentral.
UUCGAGCGUCAUUAUGACCAAAUCACGCUCUGCGUGGUCUUGGGGUUCGCUGUCACGGCGGCUCCUAAACUCAGUGGCGGCGCCAUGCGGCUCUAAGCGUAGUAAAUUUCCUCGCUAUAGGGUCUGUGUAGAUGCUUGCCAGCAACCCCCAAUCUUUCUAGGUUGACCUCGGAUCAGGUAGGGAUACCCGCUGAACUUAA